CCUUUCAUAAGCUAAGCUGGGCUGUUGAAGUAAUUAUUCUUUAGGUACCUUCCUUUGCAUUUUUUUAGAUGAUGGCUGAUUGAUAUAGCUGUUUAUGUAGUGUACUGUUUUCUCAGAAUAGAUUACCUGUGAGAGAUUCCUUCAUUCGUUUUGCGAAAGAUUGCUUGUCCAGUAGCUUCCCUUUGGUCCCGUUACUGACAAUUCUGUUAUUUGUGUUUUGAUCAUGGUGAUGCGCGUGAAUGAUUAUAGCAAAACCACUGCCCAUUGGUGUCGAUGAUGGUGUCUCGUCACUCCAGGAAGACGGAUAAAGAGGUCAAAUUCAAGUUCCAAUUAGGUUGGCGUUGAUGAAUUGUGCAAUGCAUUUUUCUUAUUUAGGGCUAACACAAAAAGGCAUAAUGCCAGGGGCACAAAAUUGUUUCACCUGAAAGUGCAGAUUGUACACUUGGUUUCUAAUGUGUUGAAGGCUUGCGAUGAAACCAUUUAUGUUUCACCUGAUUGCGGCAUUCUUAUUUCUGAAAUUUAUCUGUCCAGCAUUUCAUUAAACUAAGUGU
This 551-nucleotide long non-coding RNA is filed under the name Triticum aestivum (bread wheat). RNAcentral describes it as "long non-coding RNA (TAES_LNC012830)". The record is from RNAcentral. Lineage: Eukaryota; Viridiplantae; Streptophyta; Magnoliopsida; Poales; Poaceae.